GCCAGUAUGGUUCAGUGGUUUGAGUGUUGGACUAUGAUUCUGGAGAUCAGGGUUUGAUUCCCAGGUCAGACA
This is a non-coding RNA of Phrynosoma platyrhinos (Desert horned lizard), 72 nucleotides long. NCBI's taxonomy places the organism in Eukaryota, Metazoa, Chordata, Lepidosauria, Squamata, Phrynosomatidae. The record is from the annotation of a GenBank genome assembly.